AUUUGGGUGACUAAACAUCACCUAUUAUUAUUAUUAUUCGGAUUCCCUGUCCUCCAUUCUCAACCGUCGGCAGAACAACAAGAAGAACGAAAAAAACAUUUAAAAAAGCAAGCAAAAAAGAACGAACGUAAGUCCUACCAAUAAAGAGAUCUGAAAGCAAAAAAAGCAGCGGAAGGGGCGAAGAGAGGGACGUCAAAAUUCUCACGCUUUCCUUGCCAAGAUCCUCCAAUACCCUUUUGACAUUCCAUUUCCGAGGUCCUCUACGCGCUCUGGAGCUCCUCCCCUUUUCGUUUCCAACGGCGAGAGAGACGGGUACGGCGAUCAUGGCAUAGAUUCGAUUCGACCUUGCGGUCGUUUUCUGUCCCAAGUGACGAACGAGG
RNAcentral lists this long non-coding RNA (380 nucleotides) under Phoenix dactylifera (date palm). RNAcentral describes it as "long non-coding RNA (PDAC_LNC017675)". The record is from RNAcentral. Lineage: Eukaryota; Viridiplantae; Streptophyta; Magnoliopsida; Arecales; Arecaceae.